RNAcentral lists this ribosomal RNA (254 nucleotides) under uncultured bacterium. RNAcentral's name for it is "partial 16S ribosomal RNA". It matches the Rfam family "Bacterial small subunit ribosomal RNA", at positions 524 to 776 of the family's 1533-position model. The record is from RNAcentral.
UACGGGGGGGGCGAGCGUUGUUCGGAAUCACUGGGCGUAAAGGGCGCGUAGGCGGCCCGCACAAGUCUGCGGUGAAAACCCCCGGCUUAACCGGGGGCCGGCCGUGGAAACUGUCGGGCUAGAGGCCGGGAGAGGGCAGCGGAAUUCCCGGUGUAGCGGUGAAAUGCGUAGAUAUCAAGAGGAACACCUGAGGUGAAGACGGGUUGCUGGGCCAACACUGACGCUGAGGCGCGAAAGCCAGGGGAGCAAACGGG